This 450-nucleotide ribosomal RNA is filed under the name uncultured bacterium. RNAcentral describes it as "bacterial SSU rRNA". It matches the Rfam family "Bacterial small subunit ribosomal RNA", at positions 8 to 458 of the family's 1533-position model. The record is from RNAcentral.
AGAGUUUGAUCCUGGCUCAGGAUGAACGCUAGCGGGAGGCCUAACACAUGCAAGUCGAACGGGAUUGAGAGCUUGCUCUCAUGAAAGUGGCGCACGGGUGAGUAACGCGUAUGCAACCUACCUAUAACUGAGGGAUAGCCCAUAGAAAUGUGGAUUAAUACCUCAUAGUUCUUUUGAACCGCAUGGUUUAAAAGAUAAAGCUCCGGCGGUUAUAGAUGGGCAUGCGUGACAUUAGCUAGUUGGUAAGGUAACGGCUUACCAAGGCUACGAUGUCUAGGGGUUCUGAGAGGAUGAUCCCCCACACUGGUACUGAGACACGGACCAGACUCCUACGGGAGGCAGCAGUGAGGAAUAUUGGUCAAUGGGCGCAAGCCUGAACCAGCCAUCCCGCGUGCAGGAUGAAGGCCCUAUGGGUCGUAAACUGCUUUUAUACACCAAGAAAAACACCCA